UACGUAGGGCGCAAGCGUUGUCCGGAAUUAUUGGGCGUAAAGAGCUCGUAGGCGGCCUGUUGCGUCCGCUGUGAAAUCCCGGGGCUCAACCCCGGGCCUGCAGUGGAUACGGGCUGGCUAGAGGCAGGCAGGGGAGAACGGAAUUCCUGGUGUAGCGGUGAAAUGCGCAGAUAUCAGGAGGAACACCGGUGGCGAAGGCGGUUCUCUGGGCCGGUACUGACGCUGAGGAGCGAAAGCGUGGGGAGCGAACAGG
This 253-nucleotide ribosomal RNA is filed under the name uncultured bacterium. RNAcentral describes it as "partial 16S ribosomal RNA". It matches the Rfam family "Bacterial small subunit ribosomal RNA", at positions 524 to 776 of the family's 1533-position model. The record is from RNAcentral.